AAACAUGUGAGGUAGGCUUUAUAAUUAAUAAGUCUUGGAUUGUACCCUUUCAGGUAAUGUUUUUACACGACUGAUGUUAAGCUUCGUUCAUGUCAAUGACUCAUUACUAUUUGCUUUGGAGAAUAUAGUAUGCAUGCAUUGAUUGUUAAAUUAAGAUUAUUGCAAGUAUAGAAUUAAGAAGAGAUCCAUGAAAAGAAGAUGAAGCUAACUUAAUUAGUUUAUUCAGAUAGCAUAAUGCUUUUAAUGUCAAACUUUGGAGCUUCGAAUUGAU
This 271-nucleotide long non-coding RNA is filed under the name Cicer arietinum (chickpea). RNAcentral describes it as "long non-coding RNA (CARI_LNC003750)". The record is from RNAcentral. Lineage: Eukaryota; Viridiplantae; Streptophyta; Magnoliopsida; Fabales; Fabaceae.